This 468-nucleotide ribosomal RNA is filed under the name uncultured bacterium. Its description in RNAcentral is "partial 16S ribosomal RNA". It matches the Rfam family "Bacterial small subunit ribosomal RNA", at positions 28 to 507 of the family's 1533-position model. The record is from RNAcentral.
GACGAACGCUGGCGGCGUGCUUAACACAUUCAAGUCGAACGGAAAGGCCCUGCUUUUGUGGGGUGCUCGAGUGGCGAACGGGUGAGUAACACGUGAGUAACCUGCCCUUGACUUUGGGAUAACUUCAGGAAACUGGGGCUAAUACCGGAUAGGAGCUCCUGCUGCAUGGUGGGGGUUGGAAAGUUUCGGCGGUUGGGGAUGGACUCGCGGCUUAUCAGCUUGUUGGUGGGGUAGUGGCUUACCAAGGCUUUGACGGGUAGCCGGCCUGAGAGGGUGACCGGCCACAUUGGGACUGAGAUACGGCCCAGACUCCUACGGGAGGCAGCAGUGGGGAAGAUUGCACAAUGGGCGGAAGCCGGAUGCAGCAACGCCGCGUGCGGGAUGACGGCCUUCGGGUUGUAAACCGCUUUCGCCUGUGACGAAGCGUGAGUGACGGUAAUGGGUAAAGAAGCACCGGCUAACUACGUG